Molecule: ribosomal RNA, 137 nt
Filed under: Bison bison bison
Lineage: Eukaryota; Metazoa; Chordata; Mammalia; Artiodactyla; Bovidae
Source: RNAcentral
GUCUAUGGCCAUACCACCCUGAACGCGUCUGAUCUAGGAAGCUAAGCAGGGUCGGGCUGCCUAGUACUUGGAUGGGAGAAACAUUACAGCUUUAGUAAGUCAGGGGACCUGGUUUGGCUGUGGAGGCGCGGUGAACA